This is a long non-coding RNA of Poeciliopsis prolifica (blackstripe livebearer), 1602 nucleotides long. RefSeq lists it as uncharacterized. Lineage: Eukaryota; Metazoa; Chordata; Actinopteri; Cyprinodontiformes; Poeciliidae. The record is from RefSeq and is a predicted model, not a curated record. The transcript is spliced from 3 exons.
UGUUCUGUAGAUUAAGUCGGUUAGGUUAAGGCAGAUAGCUUUUUGUUUACAUUUAUCGCCGCACCAUGUUAGGUACAUUCUGUGCGAAAAAAGUCUGCAGAGCCAUAUGUAGUGUAAGGGUCACAAAGCUGCUGCCAGAGACACAAAUGGACCCCAGAAAUGUCACAGUUUUGCUCCUCCUGAGCUCCCUGGAGGUUUAGUGGAUUUUUAACACACGGAUCUAACAUCAGUCUAUUUCUAACUAUUUUAAUUCUAUUUCAUUAAUGUUACUAUGGAGGUAAAUGUAGAUACACACACUUUGGUACCUUUCUAUAAUCAUCGAGAUUCUUAAUUAAUUAUGGUAGUAAAAAGUCCUACAUUUCAGUCGGUGAAACCUGCAGAAAGCAUUGCUUUCUGAGCUUUGUUAAAUGUUCCUAAAAUACCUGUUAGUUAUGGAUUUCUAGUAUAUUUUGUCAGGUUAAAACUCUCAAUGGAUUAUCCAUUAUUACAGACUUGAGCUUUCUAUUUUUUUUUUCUUUAAAAUACAUAUUCCUCUGCUGUAAAGAUGUUGGGGUUUUUUGGACUCUUCUUUGUUGUCCCCAAAUAAUUGUAGCUCAGAAACAAUAUUGAAGUUCAUUGGUAAAAUUGGUAAAAUUUUGAAAUGUUGAUGUUUUUUGUGUUGAUUGUGCUCAUUUUGACCUAUGUUACUAUUGCUUUCUACCAUGUUCAAUUCACCAUUGUUCUGCACAUACGUGCUUGCAUGUGUCCAGUGGUUAUAUUCAUGAGGCAUUCAAGGGACUUGUACUAAAAGAUACAACUCAGUUCACUAUGAAUUGCAUAUUUUAAUGGCUGAAAAUAUAUCUGAUCUCUUUCAGAACAUCACCUGUCUGUAAUCCACCUGCGUAAGUUCUGGUCAAGGGGUCAUCGGCUAUCAAGUUAUAGAUUUCAGUGGCUAAUAGAAGACACUGCUGAGGUCAGACGAGAGUGCAUCCUCAAAUGUCUGUGUGUACCUAAAUGAAGAUCCAGAGAAGCUGGUGAGGGAGUACAUGGACGUUGAUGAAUGAAAUGGCCAAAGCCGAGACUGUCCUCGGAAUCGUCAUUUGAGCAGAGGCUGCCGAUGCACAUCUGGAUGUUGGGAUUGUCCUGGAGGAGGUGGAAGUUAUGAACAGCUUGGGCAGUGUAUCUUCUGCAAUAGUGAUGCUGCUGGGACUAAUCUACGCACUAAACUUGAGCUACCCUCAAGUUUAGUGCGUUCAGCACUCAACUUGCUCAGUAACUCAAGCAUACCUUUGAAGUAAUACAGGAAAUAAUAAUGAAAUUGGAUGGAAAGAACUUAUCAAAGAAAGCACAAGUUCUCAAUAUGAAACUCGCUGCUAAGUUGAGUAAAGUUUCAUAUGGAAAAUGAGUGUUUAAAGUCUGCAGUAGAAAAGAUUUAUAUUGUUACAGUUCUCUAAGUUGAGCAACUAUACUGACAUGUUUUAUGUUGUAAAGAAUUGGCUGGGAAAUGAAACUGUAACCUUUUUGUAGUUGUUUUUUUAUUUCAAUGUCCAACUCAGCUGUGUUUUGUGCUGUGUAAAAAAACGAUGUAUAACAAUUCUGAAAAUACAAUUGUGUUGUACCUUU